Small nuclear RNA from Sarcophilus harrisii (Tasmanian devil), 103 nucleotides. The record is from Ensembl. NCBI's taxonomy places the organism in Eukaryota, Metazoa, Chordata, Mammalia, Dasyuromorphia, Dasyuridae.
UUGCUUUGGCAGCACUCAUACUAAAGCUGGAAUGAGACAGACAAGAUUAACUUGGACCCUAUUAUAGAAUGACAAACAAAUUUAUGAAGUGAUCCAUAUGUUA